CGCGGAGUGGAGCAGUUGGCAGCUCGUCGGGCUCAUAACCCGAAGGUCGUAGGUUCAAGUCCUGCCUCCCCACC
Molecule: transfer RNA, 74 nt
Filed under: Clostridioides difficile
Lineage: Bacteria; Bacillati; Bacillota; Clostridia; Peptostreptococcales; Peptostreptococcaceae
Description: tRNA-Met(cat)
Rfam family: tRNA
About the family: Transfer RNA (tRNA) molecules are approximately 80 nucleotides in length. Their secondary structure includes four short double-helical elements and three loops (D, anti-codon, and T loops).
Source: RNAcentral